Long non-coding RNA from Pieris brassicae (large cabbage white), 517 nucleotides. RefSeq lists it as uncharacterized. The transcript has 2 exons. The record is from RefSeq and is a predicted model, not a curated record. NCBI's taxonomy places the organism in Eukaryota, Metazoa, Arthropoda, Insecta, Lepidoptera, Pieridae.
CACUAUUAGUUUUUCAAGCUAGUUCGAAUUGGGUGCGCGCACGCAGCCAACGCGCGAUAUUUUUUGUGCUUACAAGUCUUUAAAUGGAAUAAUGAAUAUAUUAAUUUGUUAUCUUUAAAAUUUCGAGUAAGCAGGAUAAAGUAUAGCAAGAAAUAGACGAAAAACUUAUUACAACCAAUAAACAAUAGAACAAAUUUUUAGACUUAUGAUAACUGCCAAUAAAAGCAACAGAGAAUUUCGUCUUACUUCUCAUAUUAGCAGUCAUUAAUUCUUAGCAUAAAAAGAGAAAUUAACGAAUUCGAUUGAACAUCAAGGUGAGGGUUUAGGUGUCCCAGAUGCCGGCUGGCUAGUGAUGAUGACGCUCGAAACUAUUCGUCAGUCAUAAGAAUAAUAAUAAUUACAUUUUUGUUCAUUAAUUAUGGAGUAUCUAAGGAUAAUACAAUUUGUAUGUGAAUUGCCCCGGCAAUGGGCUAGGUUCUUUUACUAAAAUUUAAAAAAGUAAAUACAGUUUGCAGUA